ACACAUGCAAGUCGAGGGGCAGCAUCAUCAAAGCUUGCUUUGAUGGAUGGCGACCGGCGCACGGGUGAGUAACACGUAUCCAACCUGCCGACAACACUGGGAUAGCCUUUCGAAAGAAAGAUUAAUACCGGAUGGUAUAGUUUUCCCGCAUGGGAUGAUUAUUAAAGAAUUUCGGUUGUCGAUGGGGAUGCGUUCCAUUAGGCAGUUGGCGGGGUAACGGCCCACCAAACCUACGAUGGAUAGGGGUUCUGAGAGGAAGGUCCCCCACAUUGGAACUGAGACACGGUCCAAACUCCUACGGGAGGCAGCAGUGAGGAAUAUUGGUCAAUGGACGAGAGUCUGAACCAGCCAAGUAGCGUGAAGGAUGACUGCCCUAUGGGUUGUAAACUUCCUUUAUACGGGAAUAAAGUGAGCCACGUGUGGCUUUUUGUAUGUACCGUAUGAAUAAGGAUCGGCUAACUCCGUGCCAGCAGCCGCGGUAAUACGGAGGAUCCGAGCGUUAUCCGGAUUUAUUGGGUUUAAAGGGAGCGUAGGCGGGUUGUUAAGUCAGUUGUGAAAGUUUGCGGCUCAACCGUAAAAUUGCAGUUGAUACUGGCGACCUUGAGUGCAACAGAGGUAGGCGGAAUUCGUGGUGUAGCGGUGAAAUGCUUAGAUAUCACGAAGAACUCCGAUUGCGAAGGCAGCUUACUGGAUUGUAACUGACGCUGAUGCUCGAAAGUGUGGGUAUCAAACAGGAUUAGAUACCCUGGUAGUCCACACAGUAAGCGAUGAAUACUCGCUGUUGGCGAUAUACAGUCAGCGGCCAAGCGAAAGCAUUAAGUAUUCCACCUGGGGAGUACGCCGGCA
Molecule: ribosomal RNA, 846 nt
Filed under: uncultured bacterium
Lineage: Bacteria
Description: bacterial SSU rRNA
Rfam family: Bacterial small subunit ribosomal RNA
Source: RNAcentral